RNAcentral lists this ribosomal RNA (497 nucleotides) under uncultured bacterium. RNAcentral's name for it is "partial 16S ribosomal RNA". It matches the Rfam family "Bacterial small subunit ribosomal RNA", at positions 28 to 507 of the family's 1533-position model. The record is from RNAcentral.
GAUGAACGCUGGCGGCGUGCCUAAUACAUGCGAGUCGAGCGAACAGAUAAGGAGCUUGCUCCUUUGACGUUAGCGGCGGACGGGUGAGUAACACGUGGGUAACCUACCUAUAAGACUGGAAUAACUCCGGGAAACCGGGGCUAAUGCCGGAUAACAUUUAGAACCGCAUGGUUCUAAAGUGAAAGAUGGUUUUGCUAUCACUUAUAGAUGGACCCGCGCCGUAUUAGCUAGUUGGUAAGGUAACGGCUUACCAAGGCAACGAUACGUAGCCGACCUGAGAGGGUGAUCGGCCACACUGGAACUGAGACACGGUCCAGACUCCUACGGGAGGCAGCAGUAGGGAAUCUUCCGCAAUGGGCGAAAGCCUGACGGAGCAACGCCGCGUGAGUGAUGAAGGUCUUCGGAUCGUAAAACUCCGUUAUUAGGGAAGAACAAAUGUGUAAGUAACUGUGCACGUCUUGACGGUACCUAAUCAGAAAGCCACGGCUAACUACGUG